GAAUGUGAGGGUGAUCUGCCUGCAACAUCUGUCACCCCACUGAUCGCCAGCGUUGAUUUGGCUGGUCUGGCUGGCUAGGCGGGUGUCCCCUUCCUCCCUCAUGGCUCCAUGUGUGUCCCUCCCAAAGCUGCGUGCUCCGUGACAAAGGAUGAUCUUCCGAAUAGAGGAGGAUUGGUCUUCGGUCAAAAGUAUAUGAGUAACUGAGCUCCUCUAGCAUCAAAAUAGAAGACAGACUAGAUGGAAAGAAGGGAUUCAGUGGAG
RNAcentral lists this small nuclear RNA (261 nucleotides) under Jaculus jaculus (lesser Egyptian jerboa). RNAcentral describes it as "7SK RNA (ENSJJAG00000001885.1)". It matches the Rfam family "7SK RNA", at positions 1 to 277 of the family's 331-position model. Rfam says of the family: 7SK was discovered as an abundant small nuclear RNA in the mid-70s but a possible function has only recently been suggested. Two independent studies have found that 7SK RNA binds the CDK9/cyclin T complex (known as elongation factor P-TEFb). The record is from Rfam by way of RNAcentral. Lineage: Eukaryota; Metazoa; Chordata; Mammalia; Rodentia; Dipodidae.